GCCGAAGUGGCGGAAUUGGCAGACGCGCUACGUUCAGGGCGUAGUUCUCGUAAGGGAGUGUGGGUUCGACUCCCACUUUCGGCACCA
RNAcentral lists this transfer RNA (87 nucleotides) under Herpetosiphon sp. Its description in RNAcentral is "tRNA-Leu". It matches the Rfam family "tRNA". From Rfam's summary of the family: Transfer RNA (tRNA) molecules are approximately 80 nucleotides in length. Their secondary structure includes four short double-helical elements and three loops (D, anti-codon, and T loops). Lineage: Bacteria; Bacillati; Chloroflexota; Chloroflexia; Herpetosiphonales; Herpetosiphonaceae. The record is from RNAcentral.